GUGAGGAAUUUUCCGCAAUGGGCGAAAGCCUGACGGAGCAAUGCCGCGUGAAGGAUGAAGGCCUAUGGGUUGUAAACUUCUUUUCUCAGAAAAGAAUUAUGACGGUAUCUGAGGAAUAAGCAUCGGCUAACUCUGUGCCAGCAGCCGCGGUAAGACAGAGGAUGCAAGCGUUAUCCGGAAUGAUUGGGCGUAAAGCGUCUGUAGGUUGUUUACAAAGUAUUCUGUCAAAGAUUAGGGCUUAACCCUAGAUAGGCAGAAUAAACUUUUAAGCUAGAGUUUGGUAGAGGCAGAGGGAAUUCCAGGUGGAGCGGUGAAAUGCGUAGAUAUCGGGAGGAACACCAAAGGCGAAGGCACUCUGCUGGGCCAAUACUAACACUGAGAGACGAAAGCGAGGGGAGCAAAUGGGAUUAGAUACCCCUGUAGUCC
Molecule: ribosomal RNA, 426 nt
Filed under: uncultured bacterium
Lineage: Bacteria
Description: bacterial SSU rRNA
Rfam family: Bacterial small subunit ribosomal RNA
Source: RNAcentral